RNAcentral lists this small nucleolar RNA (106 nucleotides) under Cephalotus follicularis. RNAcentral describes it as "Plant small nucleolar RNA R71". It matches the Rfam family "Plant small nucleolar RNA R71". Rfam says of the family: R71 is a member of the C/D box family of snoRNAs containing the C (UGAUGA) and D (CUGA) box motifs. Multiple nearly identical copies of this snoRNA have been identified in Arabidopsis, and it is thought to function as a 2'-O-ribose methylation guide for 18S ribosomal RNA. Lineage: Eukaryota; Viridiplantae; Streptophyta; Magnoliopsida; Oxalidales; Cephalotaceae. The record is from Rfam by way of RNAcentral.
ACGGCAUGAUGGGGACAUUUUCUGAUGAGAUCCUUUAAUCUCUCCCAUGACUCAUGGAACUGCUCAUCAUCUUGUUGCGAAAAGCUAGCGAGAUCUCGUCUUAUCU